CGCCAUUUGUGUAACCCUCAGUAAGCCACGUUCUCACUCUUCCUGCCACUCACUCCCCCACUGCCAACCAUUCCCAAUUUACACACACACACACAACACCAAAACUCACAUCACACACACACAGAGCCAUCUUUACCCAUGAGAGAAAGAGAGAAUGGAGAGUGCAGAGAAAGGAGAGGAAGACCGACGCAGUCGCCACCUCUGUCGCGCGUCACCGCCGGUCAUUGCUGCUGAGCCGUCGUUGAAAACGGAACCGCGGAGAGAGAGAGCCGUCCAGCCGCCUCGCCAGUGCCGUCAUUUCUGCGCUGUCACUGUUGAAGGAGGAAGUCGUUUGUGCCUAUCGCAGUCCCACGGAGUCUGCACUGCCAUCGCGAGUGACAGAGGGAGGCUUUGCUGCCUGUGCCGUCGCCUUGCCUUCAUCACCGCUGGGGUUUCGUUGCCGCUGCCAUUGGUUCACUGUGGCGGAGAGUGGAUCUGAGGAGAGAGAAAUUGAGGAAGAGAAGAACACGAAGAGGAGGAACUGGGAUCGUCGCUGUCACCACCGCUGCUGAGGACCAGCCACCGCGCCGAGUUUUUACUGUCGCCGUUGUGCCCAGCGUCGCCAGCACUGAAGUCAGCUGCUACCACCGUCGAGCCUUGUUGGAACUGGUGUUGCUUUUGGAGGUUUGGAGGGGAGGCUUGCUCAGAUCUGCCUCUGCUCUUGGUUCUCGCAGCUGCUGGAGCCUCUGUCGCCAUCAGAGCUACCAUUGAAGCUGUUGAUUCGGUUCCAAUUCUUCCAUUUUUGAGACCGUGUGCUUUAAUUCUUGCUCUGCUUCUAUUCUAUUCCUAUGUCUUUCACGUGUUCUAACUAAGAAAACCUAUGUUUCUGUUCAGUAUUGCUACUCUAUUUUCCCUGUUUACCGCUAGAAUUAUCAUAGAGGAUAGUGUUAAUGCCAUCAGGAAACUGUUAGAGUUGCUGUUGUUGCUGAUGCAAGUUAGAAUGAAGUUGGAGUCACGCUUGAUUUUAUAGAUUUUGACUAACUGAGAUGCAGGUUGAGAGGCAACUCGUUAAGUGUCUGGAUUCUUGGAGCGAAGUGGUUACUGGGUUAUUUUGUUGUACAGUGAUGUAUAUAUAUAUGCACUUAGUUUUCUCUCCGCAUAACUCAUUCUCUUUGAUCCUCUAGAGGUUUAUGGAGAGGCAGGACUUUGUUUAUGUACUUUUAGAUUUUGGAUAUGUAUAUGUGUGUGUGUGUGUGUGUGUGUGUGUGUGUGUAAGUAUUCUCCGACCAGCCCUGACUUCACGAGCUGAGUUAGGAGCUUGUUAUUUUGUAUCUUUGGCCCUCUAUUCCUACUUUUAUUAUCUUAAGUUUGAUAGUUAUAGUUUUCUUCACACCUAAGUUAUUCCGUUUCCGGAGCGG
Arachis ipaensis is the source of this 1397-nucleotide long non-coding RNA. RefSeq lists it as uncharacterized. The record is from RefSeq and is a predicted model, not a curated record. Lineage: Eukaryota; Viridiplantae; Streptophyta; Magnoliopsida; Fabales; Fabaceae.